GGCCUCGUAACUCAGCCGGUAGAUUGUCCGCUGUACCAAAGUGUAGGCAGUGCCCUUGUGUGGGUUCGAAUCCCACCGAGACUA
RNAcentral lists this transfer RNA (84 nucleotides) under Echinostoma caproni. It matches the Rfam family "tRNA". Rfam says of the family: Transfer RNA (tRNA) molecules are approximately 80 nucleotides in length. Their secondary structure includes four short double-helical elements and three loops (D, anti-codon, and T loops). Further hydrogen bonds mediate the characteristic L-shaped molecular structure. tRNAs have two regions of fundamental functional importance: the anti-codon, which is responsible for specific mRNA codon recognition, and the 3' end, to which the tRNAs corresponding amino acid is attached (by aminoacyl-tRNA synthetases). tRNAs cope with the degeneracy of the genetic code in two manners: having more than one tRNA (with a specific anti-codon) for a particular amino acid; and 'wobble' base-pairing, i.e. permitting non-standard base-pairing at the 3rd anti-codon position. The record is from Rfam by way of RNAcentral. Lineage: Eukaryota; Metazoa; Platyhelminthes; Trematoda; Plagiorchiida; Echinostomatidae.